Long non-coding RNA from Aquila chrysaetos chrysaetos, 489 nucleotides. RefSeq lists it as uncharacterized. Lineage: Eukaryota; Metazoa; Chordata; Aves; Accipitriformes; Accipitridae. The record is from RefSeq and is a predicted model, not a curated record. The transcript is spliced from 3 exons.
UCCCUUGGCACGCAGGAUUAUAUGGUUACAGGUUUUGGGGACAACAGGUCCAGAUUUCUGCUGAAGUAUCAGUGAUGCUUUCCUGCCUCUGGGCAGCAGCUGUUUAGGAGUUACCUGUGCUUUGAUGGGAAAGUGGUAUGAAGACAUCAUGUUCCACCAGAGGAUUCUAUGGCCAGAGGUUUUCAGAUAACAUUGCAGGAUCAGUGUAACUUAGGUGAAGGACAUGGCUAAAGUCUCUUGAAACUUUGAGAUAAUUUGAAGACUUGCUUUCUGAUGUCUCCAAAUGCAGAUGGUGGUUUAUUAUCUGCCCUUUUCUGCAUCUCUUAAGAAGGUCUCCAAAGGCUUUUUAGAGUGGUCACUCUGCAGCACCAGCACUGUUACUUCUAUCACCUCAGGCAGAGCUCCUCACUGAUCCUUCCUCCUGGAGUGGCCUCUCACUUUACAGCCCUCUGAACUAUCAUCAGAUCCUCACCUAGCACUGUGCACCAA